AACCUUUGAACUGGAAGUGUCUCCUGAAAUUUCACAGUAUUAUUUUAUAUUUGGAAAAUUUUAACCUUUGGCCAUAAAAAAGUAAAACAAAACGAUAAAAAAAAGUAAAAAGUUCUCAAACCAAUCCCAAUCAUGGACCGCGCCGGGUAAUCUUUUACUCCGGUUGUGGUCCAAGACUUUCAGUGAUGAACAGGAGCCUGGCGAGCAGGAAUCCGAGUUCAUUGACGGCAGUGGCACCAUUACCAUUACGAUUUCCGAGCGUCAGAGACCGAUUACACCGCCAAGUCACAGUAGAGGAACCACGUCACCAGUUCCUGGGACUCCAGACUUCAAUCCCAACCCAAUGCCGAGUCUUGGCAUUAAUUGCCUUGAACUCUCUCUGGAGUAAAGUGUUGGGAUUGGUGGCUGUGGUGCUGGGACCUGAUGGCUUGGAGCUGCUGCUGUUUCUUGGUGGUGUAACCGAUCUCUGACGCUCGGAGACUGAGGUGGAAAUAGUGCCACUUCCGCCAUUGAACACGGUUUGCUUCUCGCGCUGAGGUUCGUCCAAUAGGAGCUGACCUUCAUUGGGAGUGGAGGAGUAGGAGCAGCAGGAGGAGCAGAAGGAUCUUCAGGGGAAUUCUUCAAUCAAAACGGGAAGAAUAUCGUUCCUCAAGAGUCGAUACUGUGGCAGUAAGAGUUUUAGGGUUAAGUGGAUGACACUCUACGAGGAUCAUCCACCCCGCAAAUAAAUUUGGAAACGCCUGAAAGCUUUGUCCAUCUUAAA
Long non-coding RNA from Drosophila serrata, 763 nucleotides. RefSeq lists it as uncharacterized. The record is from RefSeq and is a predicted model, not a curated record. NCBI's taxonomy places the organism in Eukaryota, Metazoa, Arthropoda, Insecta, Diptera, Drosophilidae.